Thecamonas trahens ATCC 50062 is the source of this 73-nucleotide transfer RNA. It matches the Rfam family "tRNA". From Rfam's summary of the family: Transfer RNA (tRNA) molecules are approximately 80 nucleotides in length. Lineage: Eukaryota; Apusomonadida; Apusomonadidae. The record is from Rfam.
GGUUGGGUAGCUCAGUUGGUAGAGCGUUCGACUGUUAAUCGAAAGGCCCGGGGAUCAAAACCCUGCCUGACCG